UGAUUACUCCUUUUUACCACAUUAAUUUUUGCUUUACACGGUUCUAACCCCUGUUCUUUAACUGGUUUAACACAUUGGACACAGGGUUUACGAAAUUUAAUUUGCACAUAUACUCAGUGCCGCCCUUCUCUUCCAAUAACAUUCAGUGCCACCCUUCUCUUCCAAUACGAACCUCCACCGCCAUUGACUAUGUUUGCUUUUUCUUUUACCCACUUCUUUUCGACUGUUAAUUAAACUUUCUCUACCCUCUCUACCCAUGCCGGUUUAGGGUUCCGCCUCUACACGAUGUCAAUUUCGAUAGACCACCGAUCAUCCUGUUUCAUCGUUGUUUUACUGUAUUGACUAUUUUCUGAAGCUCCGCCAAUCGGGUCCCAGCGUCAAAGCACCAAUGCUCCAUCGGACCACAAGUAGUUUAUAAGCAGUACCUUUUCCAAGUCUUCUCCAUCUUCGUUGUUAAGAAUUAAGAACUACAAUCAAGUCGGAACCCAUCAAAUUGGGGCGGAAAUAUGGAAUUCAUGCUCGAGAACCCAGCGGACAUCUUUCUAACCGAAGUGACACGCGACGACUUUUACUUUGAAGCCGACACUACUUUAAUCAGAUUUAAAAGAGGCAUGUAGGAGAAGAUUUGUGACCCCAGGGGGGGAUGACUUUGGGGGGUUUUCCCUUGGGUCCAAACGUAUACUGCUCUUUAUUUGGCGAGUGAGAAAAAAAAAUGAAAUAUCCUGCAAAGUCGUUUAAAGAGGCGAAGAACGAUGUCCGUUUAUGGAAAACAUUCGGAAGGAUUGUUCCAUGACUUACAAAACUUGGAACAAAUUAGGAAUAUGUCCCUGAUCAUGGAUUUUUAUGUGAUUUGUUAUGGGUUGGUCUUCAUAGAGAUGUGGAAGGAUGGGAAGAAAAUGAUGCUUUUGGGGCUGAUAACGUUGCAGUCUAUCUUGAAAAGCAUGAUCAUGAUCAUGAUCUUAUAUACACAACUCAGUAGGUAUACAUAACAGGUAUGCAUGACACAUGAAAAUCAAUUUUGUUUGAAUUUGGUUUAAUGUAUAUCUUUUUAAUUACAUAAAAUUAGUUGAUGUUAUUUCCUACGACUAUUUUAAAUUUUAAACGUCCGGUGACAUUUUUAUAAUUUCAUUGUAACAAUUUGUUGUUA
This is a long non-coding RNA of Lactuca sativa (garden lettuce), 1147 nucleotides long. RefSeq lists it as uncharacterized. The record is from RefSeq and is a predicted model, not a curated record. NCBI's taxonomy places the organism in Eukaryota, Viridiplantae, Streptophyta, Magnoliopsida, Asterales, Asteraceae.